Molecule: ribosomal RNA, 443 nt
Filed under: uncultured bacterium
Lineage: Bacteria
Description: partial 16S ribosomal RNA
Rfam family: Bacterial small subunit ribosomal RNA
Source: RNAcentral
GCUACGGGCGGCAGCAGUGGGGAAUAUUGGGCAAUGGAGGCAACUCUGACCCAGCAACGCCGCGUGAAUGAUGAAGGUCUUCGGAUUGUAACGUUCUUUUCUAAGGGAAGAAGAAAGUGACGGUUCCUUAGGAAUAAGCCUCGGCUAACUACGUGCCAGCAGCCGCGGUAAUACGUAGGAGGCAAGCGUUAUCCGGAAUGACUGGGCGGAAAGGGUGCGUAGGUGGUGUGACAAGUUAGUAGCGCAACUCCGGAGCUCAAAUUCGGAAAUACUACUAAAACUGUUGGACUUGAUGGCAGGAGGGGCAAUCGGAAGUCCUAGUGUAGCGGUGGAAUGCGUAGUUAUUAGGAGGAACACCAGUGGCGAAGGCGGAUUGCUAGACUGUAACUGACACUGAGGCACGAAAGCGUGGGGAGCAAACAGGAUUAGAUACCCCGGUAGUC